UAUUUAUUCUUUCCAUGCCAGCAACAUAAUCAUACUGUCAGCUGUUGGGGUGAUUGCCCAACAGACAGGUCUAUCCCCACAAACCAUGAGUCCUGAGCAGCCUGCCUCCGCCAUCAGCUCCCAACAGGCUGCAACUCCCCAAGCCUCCUCGGCAACUUCACCACUUCUGCCUGCGCUGGCCAGGACUCCCGCCACCGCGAUGACGACUUCCCUUCACGCCUCCUGCCGUCAUCGCGCCCCCCGCCGACAGCGCAGCCUCAAUCCCACCCUGCAAACCCGUGUUCAGGAUGUCUAACCCUAUUUCAUUUAAGUGGACCCCAUCCUUUCUCAUCAAGUUCUGGUUCUCUCCUUCCAGCUCCACGUGUCGGAUGACCACCCCUCCUAGCCGCCGUACAAAUUUCCCCACUGCGAUGUUCAGCUUGCGCCGGCUCUUCUCCAAACCGCGAGAGUGUGGAAGCGCGUGCCAGCACGGCCUGGAAACCACCUCCGACCAAACCAAGGUCAUGUCUGGAAAGAGCGCCAUGCACCUCGCCAAGUCGUGCCGAAUCGCGUGGAGAAGGUCCACAGUCCUGGAUACCCCUAAGUCGUUACCGCCCGCGUGGACCACCGCCACCACCGGCCCUGACACAAACUUACGCAGGGCCACGAACUCUGGAUAAAUUUGCUGCCACCGGAGGCCCCUAAUGCCCUUCCACCUGACUCUGGCCACGUCCAACGAAAGCCCCAAAUUCCGUCCAUAGGCCCGGCCUUCAGCUCGCCUAGCUGCCCAGGACACAUAGGAAUGCCCUAUAAUCCACACGUACCGGGGCCGACCACCUACAACGAGAAGAGGGUUACAGCAUAUGAGGUCGGACAUAAGACUUAAAACGCCCCGACCCCCAUCUUCCAAUCCGUUGAAUUCCCGCAGCCGAGUACCCCAAUACACUCGCCUGGGUAGCCGCCCCGAUCCGAAAGGAAUGGGCCGAAAACCCGUGACCAUCCAUGCCACUC
Molecule: long non-coding RNA, 990 nt
Filed under: Pelobates cultripes (western spadefoot toad)
Lineage: Eukaryota; Metazoa; Chordata; Amphibia; Anura; Pelobatidae
Source: RNAcentral